GGUGGCUCAAUGGUAGAGCACUUGCCUUGUACUCAUGAGGCCCUGGGUUCGAUUCCUCAGCACCA
Dipodomys ordii (Ord's kangaroo rat) is the source of this 65-nucleotide non-coding RNA. Lineage: Eukaryota; Metazoa; Chordata; Mammalia; Rodentia; Heteromyidae. The record is from Rfam.